Molecule: unclassified non-coding RNA, 421 nt
Filed under: soil metagenome
Description: partial contains 5.8S ribosomal RNA, internal transcribed spacer 2, and large subunit ribosomal RNA
Rfam family: 5.8S ribosomal RNA (bases 1-120)
Source: RNAcentral
GAUGAAGAACGCAGCGAAAUGCGAUACGUAAUGUGAAUUGCAGAAUUCAGUGAAUCAUCGAAUCUUUGAACGCAUAUUGCGCUCUUUGGUAUUCCGAAGAGCAUGCUUGUUUGAGUAUCAGUAAACACCUCAACCUCUUCUUGAUUUUUCAAAAGGAGGGUGGACUUGAGCUAUCCCAACAACCUUUACCAGUCGGCGGGCGGCUUGAAAUGCAGGUGCAGCUGGACUUUUAUCUGAGCUAAAAGCAUAUCUAUUUAGUCCUCGUCAAACAGGAUUAUUACUUUUGCUGCAGCUAACAUAAAGGAUAAUUGUCCUCUUUGCUGACUGAUGCAGGAUUUUACGACACUUUAUGUGUUGUUCAACUCGAUCUCAAAUCAAGUAAGACUACCCGCUGAACUUAAGCAUAUCAAUAAGCGGAGGA